CUACGGGAGGCAGCAGUGAGGAAUAUUGGGCAAUGGGCGCAAGCCUGACCCAGCCAUGCCGCGUGAAGGAUGAAGGCCCUAUGGGUUGUAAACUUCUUUUUUACGGGACAAAACUCUCGGUCGUGACCGGGAUUGAUGGUACUGUAUGAAUAAGCAUCGGCUAACUCCGUGCCAGCAGCCGCGGUAAUACGGAGGAUGCAAGCGUUAUCCGGAUUCAUUGGGUUUAAAGGGUGCGUAGGCGGAAUAAUAAGUCAGUGGUGAAAGCCUGCGGCUUAACCGUAGAAUUGCCGUUGAUACUGUUAUUCUUGAGUAUAGUUGAAGUGGGCGGAAUGUGUAAUGUAGCGGUGAAAUGCUUAGAUAUUACACAGAACACCAAUUGCGAAGGCAGCUCGCUAAACUGUUACUGACGCUGAGGCACGAAAGCGUGGGGAGCAAACAGGAUUAGAAACCCGAGUAGUCCC
Molecule: ribosomal RNA, 461 nt
Filed under: uncultured bacterium
Lineage: Bacteria
Description: bacterial SSU rRNA
Rfam family: Bacterial small subunit ribosomal RNA
Source: RNAcentral